AUAUUAAAGUUGUUGCAGUUAAAAAGCUCGUAGUUGAAUUUCGGGAUCAAAUUGUCGGUCGUGCCUUGGUACGCACUGGCAUUAUUGGUUCCUAUCUUCUGAAAAACCGCGAUCGUCAUUAAUUUGGUGUCAUGGGGAAUCAGGACUGUUACUUUGAAAAAAUUAGAGUGUUUAAAGCAGGCGCACGCUUGAAUACAUUAGCAUGGAAUAAUGAAAUAGGACGUUUGAUUCUAUUUUGUUGGUUUCUAGGAUCGACGUAAUGAUUAAUAGGGAUAGUUGGGGGCAUUAGUAUUCAAUUGUCAGAGGUGAAAUUCUUGGAUUUAUUGAAGACUAACUACUGCGAAAGCAUUUGCCAAGGAUGUUUUCAUUAAUCAAGAACGAAAGUUAGGGGAUCGAAGACGAUCAGAUACCGUCGUAGUCUUAACCAUAAACUAUGCCGACUAGGGAUCGGAUGAUGUUAAUUUUAUAAUGACUCAUUCGGCGCCUUACGGGAAACAA
Molecule: ribosomal RNA, 498 nt
Filed under: uncultured Glomus
Lineage: Eukaryota; Fungi; Glomeromycota; Glomeromycetes; Glomerales; Glomeraceae
Description: SSU rRNA
Rfam family: Eukaryotic small subunit ribosomal RNA
Source: RNAcentral